This 298-nucleotide unclassified non-coding RNA is filed under the name uncultured fungus. RNAcentral describes it as "partial contains small subunit ribosomal RNA, internal transcribed spacer 1, and 5.8S ribosomal RNA". The stretch from base 1 to 73 matches the Rfam family "Eukaryotic small subunit ribosomal RNA", at positions 1759 to 1831 of the family's 1831-position model. The record is from RNAcentral. Lineage: Eukaryota; Fungi.
ACAAACUUGGUCAUUUAGAGGAAGUAAAAGUCGUAACAAGGUUUCCGUAGGUGAACCUGCGGAAGGAUCAUUAAAAAAUAUAUAUAUUGAAUAUAUAUAUUUUGUGUGCAACUAUUGAAGGAAAAAAAAUAAUAAUAAAGAAUUCCUUUCUCUUUUCUUUUUUGAGAGAGAGAGAGGAAGGAUUUACUAUUUAUUUUUUUUAAAUUUACUAUUUUUCAAUUUGUUUAUAUAAUUUAAUAAAAUUAAAAGAACUUUCAACAAUGGAUCUCUUGGCUCUCGCAUCGAUGAAGAACGCAGC